GACGAACGCUGGCGGCGUGCUUAACACAUGCAAGUCGAACGGAAAGGCCCUGCUUUUGUUGGGUGCUCGAGUGGCGAACGGGUGAGUAACACGUGAGUAACCUGCCCUUGACUUUGGGAUAACUUCAGGAAACUGGGGCUAAUACCGGAUAGGAGCUCCUGCUGCAUGGUGGGGGUUGGAAAGUUUCGGCGGUUGGGGAUGGACUCGCGGCUUAUCAGCUUGUUGGUGGGGUAGUGGCUUACCAAGGCUUUGACGGGUAGCCGGCCUGAGAGGGUGACCGGCCACAUUGGGACUGAGAGACGGACCAGACGCCUACGGGAGGCAGCAGGGGGGAAUAUUGCACAAUGGGCGGAAGCCUGAUGCAGCAACGCCGCGUGCGGGAUGACGGCCUUCGGGUUGUAAACCGCUUUCGCCUGUGACGAAGCGUGAGUGACGGUAAUGGGUAAAGAAGCACCGGCUAACUACGUG
RNAcentral lists this ribosomal RNA (468 nucleotides) under uncultured bacterium. RNAcentral describes it as "partial 16S ribosomal RNA". It matches the Rfam family "Bacterial small subunit ribosomal RNA", at positions 28 to 507 of the family's 1533-position model. The record is from RNAcentral.